This is a non-coding RNA of Pangasianodon gigas (Mekong giant catfish), 72 nucleotides long. The record is from the annotation of a GenBank genome assembly. Lineage: Eukaryota; Metazoa; Chordata; Actinopteri; Siluriformes; Pangasiidae.
UCCCUGGAGGACUAGUGGUUAGGCCACAGCGCUCUCACCGGUGCAGCCCGAGCUCGAUUCCCGGCCAGGGAA